AUACAAUGGUGAGGACACCUUUGCAACAGCUCCUUGUAUCUUGCUCAAGCUUCAUAUAAAGACUCACCAUCUUGUUGCACAAAGGAAGUGAUUUCUCCUCUCAACUU
This is a small nucleolar RNA of Abrus precatorius (Indian licorice), 107 nucleotides long. The record is from RefSeq and is a predicted model, not a curated record. NCBI's taxonomy places the organism in Eukaryota, Viridiplantae, Streptophyta, Magnoliopsida, Fabales, Fabaceae.